This is an RNA transcript of Myotis brandtii (Brandt's bat), 1410 nucleotides long. It is a transcript of the gene named E3 ubiquitin-protein ligase Hakai pseudogene, with no coding region annotated. The transcript has a single exon. Lineage: Eukaryota; Metazoa; Chordata; Mammalia; Chiroptera; Vespertilionidae. The record is from RefSeq and is a predicted model, not a curated record.
AUUGAGCAGUGUACACGUGGUUCUCUCUUCAUGUGUAGCAUUGUUCAAGGGUGCAAGAGAACGUAUUUGUCUCAGAGAGACUUACAGGCUCAUAUCAACCACCGCCAUAUGAGAGCUGGAAAACCUGUUACCCGAGCUUCACUUGAAAAUGUUCAUCCUCCUAUUGCCCCACCACCAGCUGAAAUCCCUGAUCGUUUUAUAAUGCCGCCAGACAAGCACCAUAGUAUGAGCCAUAUUCCGCCAAAGCAGCACAUCAUGAUGCCACCACCUCCUUUGCAACAUGUUUCACAUGAGCACUAUAAUCAGCCACAUGAGGAUAUUCGUGCACCUCCAGCAGAAUUGCCCAUGGCUCCACCUCCACCUCGUUCGGUCAGUCAGGAAACCUUUCGUAUUUCAACAAGAAAACACAGCAAUUUAAUAACUGUCCCUAUUCAGGAUGACUCAAGUUCAGGUGCUAGAGAACCACCACCUCCUGCCCCAGCACCUGCUCACCAUCAUCCUGAAUAUCAGGGUCAACCAGUGGUGUCGCACCCUCAUCAUAUUAUGCCUCCACAGCAACAUUAUGCACCACCCCCACCUCCUCCACCACCAAUAAGCCAUCCAAUGCCACAUCCUCCCCAGGCUGCAGGCACUCCUCACUUGGUUUAUAGCCAAGCUCCUCCUCCUCCAAUGACCUCUGCUCCACCACCAAUAACCCCUCCCCCUGGACAUAUCAUUGCCCAGAUGCCACCUUAUAUGAAUCAUCCUCCUCCAGGACCUCCCCCACCUCAACAUGGUGGUCCACCUGUUACUGCACCCCCUCCUCAUCAUUAUAAUCCUAACUCUCUACCCCAGUUCACUGAAGAUCAAGGAACUCUGAGCCCUCCAUUUACACAACCAGGGGGAAUGAGUCCUGGUAUAUGGCCUGCACCAAGAGGGCCACCACCACCUCCACGAAUGCAGGGUCCACCUUCUCAAACCCCACUUCCUGGACCACAUCAUCCAGAUCAGACAAGAUAUAGACCAUAUUAUCAAUGAUAAGAGUAUUUUGAACUGAAGAUAUGAAAAAAACUUAUGUGUAGUCAAUCUUUUAAUUAAGCUUUGACUGUUCUGGGAAGGAAAAACACCUCUUAUUGAGGUGGCUAUGAAACACUUAGGGUCUUAUAAAAUGGUUUUAAAUCUUCAUCUUAGGAUUGAUUUCAAAUACUAUACUGUAGUGCAGAUAAGUGGCUCAGUGGAGCACAGCUAUAUUUUAACAGCUUUGUUCCCCUCGUGUGGUAAAUUGACCCACAGGUGACCAUUUGUAAAAAAAUUGAAAAUUUUUAUUCCACUUUGAAAGGUGUUGCUUUUGUUAAACCCAGUUUCGUUUUUCUUGUGAUACAUUUUGUUAACCUGUGUAAAAGGAUUAAAUUUCAAUAUGGUUGUAAAAAU